GGGGGGGGGGGUGGGUGGGGAGGUUUAUUUUACAAUACUUGUUUACCUUCCUCCAAAUCUAUUUUCCAGCCCUAGGUUGCUACUAAUUUCUUUCAUUACUGCAUAACUCGACCAUUUCAUGCUAUUCCUUGUCUUCCUGAAUUAGUUAAAAGCUAUUGCCUCCUGGAAACAUCAGAGUCUUCAGUCUUUGCAAACCUUCCUCGGAUCCUUGGUUGACUGUCUGCAAGAGCCUUCCUUAAUUUUCCUGCCAAAAUUCCGCUUUGUCUUCUUAUUCCUGUACCUGGAAAGCUUUUCCCUACGGUCUUCAGUCGUGCAGCUGCUGAUAAUUAAUGGCCGAUCAAGGGGAGAAUGGAUGACGCCCAUGUUGCCAUUACCAAGAGUCUUUAUAUCUCCCUCGCUAUAUGCUCUUCUCAUCCCAUAAACAGUUCCAAGAUCCACUCCCGAAAAAUCCAGAAAAUUUGGCUUCACUGCAGCCCCUUGCACCCACUCUAUUGAGCUCAAACAUCCAGAGCUGACACUUUUUGGUAAUGGUGCAUCAGGAAGGAGUUUGUUUUCUUCAAUCUGGUUCUCAUUAAUCCGCAAGACAGGAAUUUUGAUGUCCAGAAUCUCUGAGAGUGGUGCUUCUAUGGCCGCUUUUUCCAUGAGGUCUUUCUUGCACUCAUAGAAAACCUCACUCAGAAGUUGGUCAGUUUGAAUUGAUUCAAUAUCUGCCACCUUUAGUCCUUGCGAGGAGAUGACUUCUUCCCCACAGGAGAUCAUUGAAAUGGCUGCUGUCAUGGGAUCAAGGCCCCCAAGUGGCAGUUCAAUGAUUGGUUCAGGAGCUUUGAAUAGAUCCCCUUCUCCUCCCAGGUCAUAUUCUGAUAUGGUGGAAGUCUGAAUUAUGUUGUUCAUUGAAGCAUUGUUCUUCUGGUAGUUGCAGUAGUCUUCAAGUUGCUGAAUAUCUUGAUAGAAAUUCUGCAUAUAGGGAAGCAACAGCCCAGUAUCUGCAUACAUUCUCUAAAGUUUGCAGUCACUCUGUUUUCAGAAGCAGAGAACUUUUGUUCUAUUAGAAAAAAGAGAAAUCACCUCUUGAAAAACAGGGCAAAACAGAGCACAAGCAAAAGAGACACUAAGCAAAGCAGCCAAAGUGUAAAAGAUUGUUUUAGUCUUUGGCUUUGAAUUGGUUUUGAU
RNAcentral lists this unclassified non-coding RNA (1170 nucleotides) under Hevea brasiliensis (rubber tree). Lineage: Eukaryota; Viridiplantae; Streptophyta; Magnoliopsida; Malpighiales; Euphorbiaceae. The record is from RNAcentral.